CCGCCGCGGGAAUACGAAGGGUGCAAGCGUUAAUCGGAAUUACUGGGCGUAAAGCGUGCGUAGGCGGUUUGUUAAGUCUGCUGUGAAAUCCCCGGGCUCAACCUGGGAAUGGCAGUGGAUACUGGCAAGCUAGAGUGUGUCAGAGGAUGGUGGAAUUCCCGGUGUAGCGGUGAAAUGCGUAGAGAUCGGGAGGAACAUCAGUGGCGAAGGCGGCCAUCUGGGACAACACUGACGCUGAGGCACGAAAGCGUGGGGAGCAAACAGGAUUAGAUACCCGUGUAGUCCCUGUCUCUUAUACACA
RNAcentral lists this ribosomal RNA (301 nucleotides) under uncultured bacterium. Its description in RNAcentral is "partial 16S ribosomal RNA". It matches the Rfam family "Bacterial small subunit ribosomal RNA", at positions 512 to 810 of the family's 1533-position model. The record is from RNAcentral.